RNAcentral lists this ribosomal RNA (408 nucleotides) under Fusobacteriota bacterium. RNAcentral describes it as "Fusobacteria bacterium partial 16S ribosomal RNA". It matches the Rfam family "Bacterial small subunit ribosomal RNA", at positions 355 to 776 of the family's 1533-position model. The record is from RNAcentral. Lineage: Bacteria; Fusobacteriati; Fusobacteriota.
UGGGGAAUAUUGCACAAUGGACGGAAGUCUGAUGCAGCAACGCCGCGUGCGGGAUGACGGCCUUCGGUUUGUAAACCGCUUUUUCUCAUGACGAAGUUUUUUGACGGUAGUGGGGGAAGAAGCACCGGCUAACUACGUGCCAGCAGCCGCGGUGAUACGUAGGGUGCGAGCGUUGUCCGGAAUUAUUGGGCGUAAAGAGCUUGUAGGCGGUUUGUCGCGUCGAUAGUGCAAACUCAGUGCUUAACGCUGAGCCUGCUGUUGAUACGGGCAGACUAGAGGAAGGUAGGGGAGAAUGGAAUUCCCGGUGGAGCGGUGGAAUGCGCAGAUAUCGGGAGGAACACCGGUGGCGAAGGCGGUUCUCUGGGCCUUUCCUGACGCUGAGAAGCGAAAGCGUGGGGAGCGAACAGG